Molecule: ribosomal RNA, 497 nt
Filed under: uncultured bacterium
Lineage: Bacteria
Description: partial 16S ribosomal RNA
Rfam family: Bacterial small subunit ribosomal RNA
Source: RNAcentral
GAUGAACGCUGGCGGCGUGCCUAAUACAUGCCAGUCGAGCGAACAGAUGAUGAGCUUGCUCCUCUGACGUUAGCGGCGGACGGGUGAGUAACACGUGGAUAACCUACCUAUAAGACUGGUAUAACUUCGGGAAACCGGAGCUAAUACCGUAUAAUAUAUUGAACCGCAUGGUUCAAUAGUGAAAGACGGUUUUGCUGGCACUUAUAGAUGGAUCCGCGCCGCAUUAGCUAGUUGGUAAGUUAACGGCUUACCAAGGCGACGAUGCGUAGCCGAACUGAGAGAGUGAUCGGCCACACUGGAGCUGAGACACGGUCAAGACUCCUACGGGACGCAGCAGUAGGGAAUGUGACGCAGUAGGCGAAAGCAUGACGGAGCAACGCCGCGUGAGUGAUGACGGUCUUCGGAUCGUAAAGCUGUGUUAUUAGGGAAGAACAAAUGUGUAAGGAACUAUGGCCGUCUUGACGGUACCUAAUAAGAAAGCAACGGCUAACUACGUG